AGAGUUUGAUCCUGGCUCAGAUUGAACGCUGGCGGCAUGCUUUACACAUGCAAGUCGAACGGCAGCGGGGGCUUCGGCCUGCCGGCGAGUGGCGAACGGGUGAGUAAUGCAUCGGAACGUGCCCAGUCAUGGGGGAUAACUACGCGAAAGCGUAGCUAAUACCGCAUACGCCCUGAGGGGGAAAGCGGGGGAUCGCAAGACCUCGCGUGGUUGGAGCGGCCGAUGUCGGAUUAGCUAGUUGGUGGGGUAAAGGCCUACCAAGGCGACGAUCCGUAGCGGGUCUGAGAGGAUGAUCCGCCACACUGGGACUGAGACACGGCCCAGACUCCUACGGGAGGCAGCAGUGGGGAAUUUUGGACAAUGGGGGCAACCCUGAUCCAGCCAUGCCGCGUGAGUGAAGAAGGCCUUCGGGUUGUAAAGCUCUUUCAGACGGAA
This 435-nucleotide ribosomal RNA is filed under the name uncultured bacterium. Its description in RNAcentral is "bacterial SSU rRNA". It matches the Rfam family "Bacterial small subunit ribosomal RNA", at positions 8 to 445 of the family's 1533-position model. The record is from RNAcentral.